This 531-nucleotide ribosomal RNA is filed under the name uncultured bacterium. Its description in RNAcentral is "bacterial SSU rRNA". It matches the Rfam family "Bacterial small subunit ribosomal RNA", at positions 979 to 1509 of the family's 1533-position model. The record is from RNAcentral.
CCUUGACAUACUAAGAACUUUCCAGAGAUGGAUUGGUGCUUUCGGGAACUUAGAUACAGGUGCUGCAUGGCUGUCGUCAGCUCGUGUCGUGAGAUGUUGGGUUAAGUCCCGCAACGAGCGCAACCCUUUUCCUUAUUUGCCAGCGGGUCAUGCCGGGAACUUUAAGGAUACUGCCAGUGACAAACUGGAGGAAGGCGGGGACGACGUCAAGUCAUCAUGGCCCUUACGGCCAGGGCUACACACGUGCUACAAUGGUCGGUACAAAGGGUUGCUACCUCGCGAGAGGAUGCUAAUCUCAAAAAGCCGAUCGUAGUCCGGAUCGCAGUCUGCAACUCGACUGCGUGAAGUCGGAAUCGCUAGUAAUCGCGGAUCAGAAUGCCGCGGUGAAUACGUUCCCGGGCCUUGUACACACCGCCCGUCACACCAUGGGAGUUUGUUGCACCAGAAGUAGGUAGUCUAACCGCAAGGAGGACGCUUACCACGGUGUGGCCGAUGACUGGGGUGAAGUCGUAACAAGGUAGGCGUAGAUGA